UACAGAGGGGGCAAGCGUUGUUCGGAAUUACUGAGCGUAAAGGGCGCGUAGGUGGCCUUCUAAGUUGAACGUGAAAUCCCUGGGCUCAACCCAGGAACUGCGUCCAAGACUGGGAGGCUUGAAUCCGGGAGAGGGAUGCGGAAUUCCAGGUGUAGCGGUGAAAUGCGUAGAUAUCUGGAGGAACACCGGUGGCGAAGGCGGCAUCCUGGACCGGUAUUGACACUGAGGCGCGAAAGCCAGGGGAGCAAACGGG
This 253-nucleotide ribosomal RNA is filed under the name uncultured bacterium. RNAcentral describes it as "partial 16S ribosomal RNA". It matches the Rfam family "Bacterial small subunit ribosomal RNA", at positions 524 to 776 of the family's 1533-position model. The record is from RNAcentral.